GCUUGAAUAGUUUAUUAAAAAUAUUGAUUUGUGGGAUCAAAGAGGUCUAGGGACUUUAGGUA
Molecule: transfer RNA, 62 nt
Filed under: Lucanus chengyuani
Lineage: Eukaryota; Metazoa; Arthropoda; Insecta; Coleoptera; Lucanidae
Description: tRNA-His
Source: RNAcentral